CUGUACCUAGGAAAUUCUUUUAAACUUAAGACUUGUUAGCAAGAAAAAAAGUACAUCCAUAGCUAAAAAGUAUUUAAUAUAUAAUAUUCAUCUGCGAAAGCCAAUAUCACAAUACAAAUUUAUAACAAACCUCUCCUCUUUUUUUUUUUUUAUAAAUCAUUUGGCUUGAGCAAUAAUUCUUGUUUUCUAGCUUCUAGCACUCGUUCUUUUUUUUUUCACAAAUCAAUUCAGCUUCUUCCAAUGGACUUUUCACAUUAUUUUGUUUUCUUAAUACCUUAUUUUUUUUUUUUUUUUGGUGCUGUUCCAGAUGUAGCCAAUUUCAGGUCUGUAGGCAUUGCUACUAUUUGCAUGCCUUGCACUAAUUUGGUGAUUAGCCAAAUUAAACAGGGAAGAAAUAUUAAACCAGCUGUAGCACUGCUACAAGGGGAAGAAACUUAGCUUCUUCUACUACUCUAUCCCCGAUAUAUUAUCCCACCAAUUAGUGGUCAUUACUGAAUUUAAUUUUUGGACUGGCACAUGGGCCAUUUUUCUGAUAUCCUUGGCGAUAUCUAGAAUGGCAUUUUUAUUGUCAUUGAAAACAACAAUCUUAUGUAUUAAUUUUCUCACAGAACACCCCUUCUUUUAGCCAAUAAAUAGUCUAAAGCCAGCAGCUCUGGCUUUGCAUCACUGACUGGCUAUUAAUUUCAUAGUUCCAGCUGUUUCACUGGUUAUGAUUUCUACAACAGCUUGGAGUUUCAUAAUGCAAAAAUUGGGGUUCGAUAUCCCCAACUUCCAUCUUGUGCCCAAGAAUGUUUCCAAUAUGCGUUCAGGGGCCAUCUCUCAUCUCCCCCCCCUGCUGCCGCAGCUUUGGGCCGAGCGGGCUCUAUUCAGCCGCUCGCUCUGCAGGGGCCCACUUGCGUCCUUGCCAGUCACUUGCGUGCUGACCCUGGGGCAAAGCCCGUGUCCCCUCUAUCUUCGCUGUGCCGUCCCUUCACACACAGGACUGGCAUGUUCUCACACUCAGCUCCCACCACAGCCGAGGGGCAGAGCCCGGAGUCCACAGUGCUCUGGUCUGGGGCUCCUCUGCUGGGCCAGCUCGCUCCUCAGCAGCAAACCUCACCCAGCACCGCUGCCGGGCCAGCGAGCGCUGCUGGCACCCUGCACCCCUCGAGACCCCGGCACAGACACGGCGGGUCCCCCUCCAGCAGCACCACUCACGAACCGCCCUCUGCACCCUUCACAUCGGCUGGGAGAGGACCGGGAGCCGCUGCUCUGGGCCCCGCUGUUCACCACUUACAGGGACCGGGUCCUGCUACAGCCGCUUUACAUAAAAGCAAUAAAACAACACUUAAACCAAGCAGCUCCUAACCCAGCGCUCCAGAUGCUCCUAACAUCCCCUAUUUCAGGCACAAUUCUCACCUCUAAUCAUGCUUGAAAGUUUUUUCUCCCCACAAGCCAGUGCUCACUCUUCAGAGCCAACAAGACACUUCUCGCUCUCUUUCUAAAAAUCUUUACAACUCUAAUGAAAGGAAUCACAAACCUCUCUCUUUCUCUCUCUGCCAUUACCAUCUCACCACUCUUUACACCACAUCCCUCCAGAAUCUCCACUACAUGAAUUACUCUGUUUCAGAAUCAACUACAAAUUCCAACACCUCUUUUUGGGGACCCUCCCCAAAGCCAUCAAAGGUGCUAGACACAGAGACCAGUCAGCUAGCCAGCUACUUUUACCAACUAAAACAAACAUGCAAUUACUAUUUCCACUGCCUUGAACAGAUCUUCAGUCAAGCUAGAAAUGAAGACACAGACAUCAUUCUUCUCUGAAUUUUCUUCUACAAGUACAAAGGAGUCCAUCUUCACACAGCUGCUUAAUGUGAAUAAUCUCUAGUGUAACUUUUCUCAUGACAAGAUAUGAUCAGGUCUUUUAUUCUUACAGGCAUUUAGAUACAUUGACAAGUUUCUGACAAUACCUUUAUGUUUCAACAGUACUUGCAGCUUACAUUCCAUGAACAAUCUACAGUAAGAACCAGUCUUACAAUUGUUUUCAAACUCUUCUUUCACAAAAUAAGAUUCAUCUCUAAAUUGACACAUGUACUUAUUAAAAUAGACCAAGUUUAGAGUCUCCACAAUUCUCUUCUUAAUUCAAAACACCAACAAUCCUAAUUCUAAUCUUUUAACUGGGUCCACUUCUGCUUUUUUAAUAAGCACAGCUACAAAACAACACAAGCACUUCUAGAGACAUGUGCACUCUCUUGGCAAAUUCAAAAGAACAAGAAAUCAUGGCAGUUCUGAGCCUGAUCUUCACCUAAACACACCAUCACAAUAACUCUUUAGAAAUCAUCAGAGAGAUGAUCAGCAUUUCAUAUUGUGAAAAGAAAGACAAAAUAAUUUUCAGCAGCAGUAAAAAGACUUACAACAAUCCCCAGGAUUUUGCUUUUAGGCUGGCACCAGGUUCUGCUGUUAAGAACCAUGGGCUGUGCCCAUCAGCACGGGACACAAAUAACAUUAGGGUUAACAGCUCUAACACUUAUUGACAACCUGAUAAGUUUUCACCUCAAGAAGUGACGACUAUGCAAAUUACUGUAACUUGCCUUUAAAAUUAAAAUCAACCACAAAAUGCUACGAUAUUCACUAAAGUAAAGAAAUUGGAGGCAUACUAAGAAAUUGGUUUGUUUCUCUACAAAAUAAAUAUUGCACUCAAUCAAGAAAAAACA
Parus major (Great Tit) is the source of this 2690-nucleotide long non-coding RNA. NCBI's taxonomy places the organism in Eukaryota, Metazoa, Chordata, Aves, Passeriformes, Paridae. The record is from Ensembl.